RNAcentral lists this transfer RNA (76 nucleotides) under Pseudomonadota bacterium. RNAcentral describes it as "tRNA-Arg". It matches the Rfam family "tRNA". Rfam says of the family: Transfer RNA (tRNA) molecules are approximately 80 nucleotides in length. Their secondary structure includes four short double-helical elements and three loops (D, anti-codon, and T loops). Further hydrogen bonds mediate the characteristic L-shaped molecular structure. tRNAs have two regions of fundamental functional importance: the anti-codon, which is responsible for specific mRNA codon recognition, and the 3' end, to which the tRNAs corresponding amino acid is attached (by aminoacyl-tRNA synthetases). tRNAs cope with the degeneracy of the genetic code in two manners: having more than one tRNA (with a specific anti-codon) for a particular amino acid; and 'wobble' base-pairing, i.e. permitting non-standard base-pairing at the 3rd anti-codon position. The record is from RNAcentral. RNAcentral also lists the same sequence under 5 other names. Lineage: Bacteria; Pseudomonadati; Pseudomonadota.
GCCCCAGUAGCUCAGUGGAUAGAGCAACCGCCUCCUAAGCGGUAGGUCGACCGUUCGAUUCGGUUCUGGGGCGCCA